UAAAAAAUUCGUUUGGGCCUGAGCCCAAAACGAACCGGGUUGCAAAUGGCACCUAAUGAAACUGAGUCCAAAGCGCCAAUGGGAAACAAUGAAUCCAAAGUGCUCAGGUUUGAAGCCAAGUUCAAGAACUUAAGUCUCAACACAACAACACAUCUAAUAUUCACUCUUUCGAUUUCACACUUUCCAUCCUCAAGAACGAAUUUGCAGUGAAACAAUUUGAAGAAUAUGGCUCUGAUCAUCAAUUCAAUCUCCGAAAUCGACAUCAACAUCCCUUCAAUUCAUCACUGUGCAUGCAGAACCGAAAAGAACAAAAUAAAAAUCGAAGCGAGAAUUCACCGAAUCGGGCUUUGAUGCAAAUAAGGAUUAACUGGAAAUUGGCCAAGCCUGCGAACUUGUGAUGGAAUUGGCUUGUAGGUUGGAAUUUGCUUGUGUUUGGAAUGACUUGAAGAGUUUUUGCUUGCAUAUAGAAAUGGAGCUGGUUUAGGAAGAAGCAUUAGAUUAUAAGCUAUUAGGUUGGUCAUUUGGUUUAUAAAAAUGGAAGUGUAUUGAAUAUGGUAUGUCAUAGUUUUAAAUUUGAAUGUAGUUUUAGAUUGGAUUUUGAAAUUGUAUUGAAAUGUAAAUGGCUGGUUUGAAAUUGUAAUGGAAUUUGGUUUAUGAAAAAACUUGAAUGUAUUUGAAAAGGAAUGUUAUGGUUAAAUGAAAAUGAAAUUGGCAUU
Long non-coding RNA from Lathyrus oleraceus (garden pea), 716 nucleotides. RefSeq lists it as uncharacterized. The transcript has 2 exons. The record is from RefSeq and is a predicted model, not a curated record. Lineage: Eukaryota; Viridiplantae; Streptophyta; Magnoliopsida; Fabales; Fabaceae.